RNAcentral lists this long non-coding RNA (2291 nucleotides) under Salmo salar (Atlantic salmon). RNAcentral describes it as "lncRNA (ENSSSAG00000121838.1)". The record is from RNAcentral. Lineage: Eukaryota; Metazoa; Chordata; Actinopteri; Salmoniformes; Salmonidae.
GCUGUGUAGUGCUAGGGCAAAAAAACAAAACGUGCACCACUUGGGGUCUUGGCUGCCCUGUGCAUACUGCUGCGCCAAACUCUGUUACCGCCGCCCGUACCCACUCCGCCGCAAGCUAUUCCAGGUUGUGAAAACCGGUCUGGCGUACAUGCAAACUUCAGUCCCCUGGCCAGCGGGACCUGAGGAGACGACUCUGCUAUGACCCCACACGCAAUUCAGGAUGUUGACAGAUGGCCUUGGGUUAUGCGUUUGAUUGGAUUGUAACAAUCAACACGUUAUCCCUGUGAAUCACAAGCAGUUGCCAUGGUGCAGGUGAGAGAGGUCAUGGGGCCAUGGGCAGUUCCAGGGUUGGGGUCAUUCUCUUCAGAUUUCGUCGUGUUCUCUCUGCUCUUCCUCCUCCUCUCCAUCAUCCUCGCCCUCUGCACUAACUGUAGAAGGUGAUUCUCCAAGUGCCUUGCAGAUUGCCAACAGAACCCCCAUGGUCAUGACGAUUAUAUCUCCUUCGCCUCCAGCAACCGUCGACAUUGGUGACCUGAGUGAUGUCCUGAACUUCACACCUGAGCUCCACUUUAUCCCAGCCCCCAUUGUCAUGGUGGAAGUCGACACCCCCCUUGAAUCUUUAUCCCCACCUGUCUAUUCAGAGGACACCCUAGAUGCCACAAUCGUGAGCAGUUUUGAACCUGUUGAUGUCCCCAUUGUGGAGGUCCCCAUCAUGAGCAGCCUUAAACCUGUUGCUGUCCCCAUCCUUGAACCUCUGGUUGUCCCCAUCGUGAGCAUUCUUGAACCUGUGGAAGUCCCCAAUGUGAAUGUCCACAUCGUGAGUAGUUUUGAAUCUGUGGAAGCCCCCAUCGUGGAUCUCCCCAUCAUGGAUGUCACCAUUGUGAACAGCCUUGAACCUCUGCAAGCCCCAAUUGUGGAUGCACCCAUCGUGAGCAGCCUUGAACCUGUUGAACAUGCAGAUGCCACUGUCAUGAAUGACCUUGAUAUCCUGAAUGCUCCAGUUGGCUUAGAGAACCUGGAUGCCCCAGUCAUCAACAGUCUUGACACACUGGUGCUGGACGCUCUUAUUGUAAACAGCCUUGAACCUGUGGACAUCCCUGUCAUCAAUGACCUUGACACUCCAGAUACCCCCAUCAUAAAUAUUCUUGACACCCUGGAGCUGGAUGCUCCCAUCAUAGAUGUCCCCAUUGUGGACAGCCUUGCACCUGUGGAAUUCCCCAUCAUGAAUGACAUUGACCUCCUGGAGAACCCUGCGGAGUUCAGCUCCAGCUUUAACCCUCAGCUUGAAGUAGAGGUUCAUGUGGAGGGUGAGGACCAGAACCAGGGGCUUUGUCUGUGUGUCCAACCUCAGCGUACCUAUGAGAUCAUUGGGGAGCCCAAUCCUGAUGAACCCUCUGGAAGUGGACCUGGCAACCCCAGGCUCUCAAACCAUAGCUGAACUGGUCCAUAACUCCACCACACAUUCUGACGAUGACACAACCACAGUCACCGAGCCAGCGGACCUGGAAAGCCCAGGCUAUGAUACUAUAGCUGAACUGGUCCAGGAUUCGAGUGCAACCACACUGCCUGACGAUGACCCUAUCACAACCACAGUCACAGAGCCAGGGGAUCAGAUAACCCCUGCGUAUGAAACCAUUGCUGAACUGGUCCAUAAAUUGAGCGCAACCACACUGCCUGACGAUGAGCCAAUAAGAACCACAGUCACAGAGCCAGGAGAAGGGCUUGACCUUACAAGCCCUCUCUCAGUGGCAGAGGAGGGUUUCUGUGACGGGGUGGAAUCCAAUGUACGCUAGAGUGAGAAAGAAGCUUAGUAAAAGUACCACCCCACCACCUGUGCUUCCAUCGGAGGACGAGGAACCGGAGGGAUUUUCACCUCCAUUACCAGAGAGAAGUGGAGAGAUGGAGGGAUGAUCAUUGUAGAAUAUCUCAUAAGACUUCAAAUGUGUGUUACGUCAUCAAUUAUAUUUAUAUAGACUCAACUGUGUCAUUUCUGGUGGAACAUGUCUCAGAUGAUGAAGAUAAGGGUUGUACCCAGUACAUAUCUUAUACGAUCUCAUAUGAGACGGGUAUCUCACUGUCCUAUCCUUCAUAUACACUAUUUCCAGUCCUUUCAUUAGCUUUGCAUUGAACUCCGUACAAUGCUAUGCUACAUAUUCCAUAAGGAAGGACCCUAAGCCCAGAGUAGAACUGGGUCACCUAACAUGUUCCAGAGUAGGCUUUAUGUUUGUAUUUACUAACACAUUACAGUGUGAAGUGGCAAUUACACAGUAAUAAAUCAUUGAGUUACAGGU